This 72-nucleotide transfer RNA is filed under the name Fasciola hepatica (liver fluke). Its description in RNAcentral is "tRNA-Val". It matches the Rfam family "tRNA". From Rfam's summary of the family: Transfer RNA (tRNA) molecules are approximately 80 nucleotides in length. Their secondary structure includes four short double-helical elements and three loops (D, anti-codon, and T loops). Further hydrogen bonds mediate the characteristic L-shaped molecular structure. tRNAs have two regions of fundamental functional importance: the anti-codon, which is responsible for specific mRNA codon recognition, and the 3' end, to which the tRNAs corresponding amino acid is attached (by aminoacyl-tRNA synthetases). tRNAs cope with the degeneracy of the genetic code in two manners: having more than one tRNA (with a specific anti-codon) for a particular amino acid; and 'wobble' base-pairing, i.e. permitting non-standard base-pairing at the 3rd anti-codon position. Lineage: Eukaryota; Metazoa; Platyhelminthes; Trematoda; Plagiorchiida; Fasciolidae. The record is from RNAcentral.
GCCCAGAUAACCUUGAGGUUAAGGUGUUCGACAUACGAUCGUUCAUCCUGGGUUCAAGUCCCAGUUGGGGCU